Molecule: ribosomal RNA, 448 nt
Filed under: uncultured soil bacterium
Lineage: Bacteria
Description: bacterial SSU rRNA
Rfam family: Bacterial small subunit ribosomal RNA
Source: RNAcentral
AGAGCGAACGCUGGCGGCAGGCUUAACACAUGCAAGUCGAGCGCCCCCGCAAGGGGAGCGGCAGACGGGUGAGUAACACGUGGGAACGUACCCUUUGGUUCGGAACAACCCAGGGAAACUUGGGCUAAUACCGGAUAAGUCCGUAAGGAGAAAGAUUUAUCGCCAAAGGAUCGGCCCGCGUCUGAUUAGCUAGUUGGUAGGGUAAUGGCCUACCAAGGCUACGAUCAGUAGCUGGUCUGAGAGGAUGAUCAGCCACAUUGGGACUGAGACACGGCCCAAACUCCUACGGGAGGCAGCAGUGGGGAAUAUUGGACAAGUGGGCGCAAGCCUGAUCCAGCCAUGCCGCGUGAGUGAUGAAGGCCUUAGGGUUGUAAAGCUCGUUUUAGCGGGAAGAGUAAUGACGGUACCCGCAAGAAAACGCCCGGAUAACGUCGUGCCAGCAGCCGAC